GUGUCAUUCGCGCGGGUCGGCGGCGGACGGCGGAGGUGUGCGUUGUGUCUUGUGAGUGUGCGUUCUGCCGGGCUCUCGGGACGCUGAUUUCGAACGCGGCCAAGACGAGGGAGGAGGAGGCCGGCCGUGGAUGCAGAUAUCCAUCGCUGAGGUCAAAGGAUCGAUCCCCCAGCACCGAAGUUUCAAGAAAGAAAGCGAAAGCUUGCACCCGGCCUGCAGUGAUACGGUGAGCAGAUGUGUGUUAUGUUCAUCUUGUGCCGGCCUCCUCCAUACCUCCUUCCGCUCUCAAAAUGCCAUCCACUCCUUCCUUCAAAACUCUUACUGCGUGGCAUCAGGAGAGCCCCGCGAGGAACAACGUGCUGGUGACGCGGCGACCAUCCCCGGCGACUCCACCCAGCGCCUGUCCUUCCACACUUGCUCAGGUAUG
This is a long non-coding RNA of Eriocheir sinensis (Chinese mitten crab), 427 nucleotides long. RefSeq lists it as uncharacterized. NCBI's taxonomy places the organism in Eukaryota, Metazoa, Arthropoda, Malacostraca, Decapoda, Varunidae. The record is from RefSeq and is a predicted model, not a curated record. The transcript has 5 exons.